AGCAGAUGUACUAUUUUUUCAAAUCUAGCUUGUUGAUCUGUCGUCUUUCAGAGCGUCCCUCAGAACUUUACGCACCGAGAACAUCCUCGCCAUCCAACAGAGAGAGAAGAGGUGAGAGCUCCAAGGUCAGCCGGAUCAACUCUCAAGUCCAGGAACUGCUCCGGUCCGGGUCGGCGGACCAUAUUUCUGCCUCGUUUCGGUUCUGAGGUGGAUCGGUUUGGGGUAGCUGGCCGAUUGACAACAUUUCGUUUCAUACGUAAAUUAACCGUAAUUAUCGGAAAUUACAAGUCAACAAAGAAUACCGAACUGCCAUAAAUUUAGGUAUUUAAAAGCAGAAUUCAAUGUCAUAAAAUACGCAAAAUGCAAACAUUGAUAAAUCAAUUUUAAAACAGCGUCUGAACAACUUGUGAACUUUGUUUCAAUCUUUCCGUUUUUGUCUUUUUUCACACACUGUUCUUCGUUCACCAGAAAAUUUAUUAGUUACGACUUUGGUUUUUCUCGCUAUUAAUUCUAGCGAGAACACUUACUAAAAUCCAAGAUCAGCCCCUGAUAAGAUCAAUUCUCCAAUUAUAAAACUUACUCCGAAUUUAUUUCAACGCUUUUGUAUAGUGUAGUUCUGUUAAUUUAAAAUUUUAAUUUUUAACUUAUCUUGAAAUGGCUAUAUUUUACCCAGCAUUUGCGAUUGAAGAAGAUUUACUCCAGCUACUUUUGCAAAGUUAUUCAAUCGAUGAUAUCGAACUUUUGAAACCUCUAAAUGGCUUCGACAGUGUAAACUACCACGUUAAAACACGCAAAAUUUAUUUCGAUGAUUGUCGAAACUUUUUGUUAAAAAUUGGCCCUUGCACCGACCCUGAUCAUGUGUCUGAAAUAUUUAAUGACCAGAUAAACUUGAUGCGAUUUCUGUACCAAAAAGUUCCUUCAAUUACACAACGAGUUUUUAAUUCCGUAGAUGGAAAAACAGUUAUCAAGACAAUGGUUGCCUGUAAGAAUCCCAAAAAUGAGGGCAAACAUUUUCAUAAUGUAACGCUAAUCGAAUUCAUAGAAGCAACGCCUAUGGUUGAGAUGAUUCCCUUUUCAUUAGCACUUAUCGAAAAUGUAGGUGAAAAAUUUGCCCGACUUUCAAUAGCGCUUCAGAAGUUUUCUUCGGUUAUUACAAAACGCAGAGAUUUUAAAUGGGAUCCGAAAAACGUGAUCAAAUGUGAAAGUUUUCUCUAUCUAUUGUCUGAUUUUGGCCAAGAUGAACGCAUCAAGAAAUGUGCAACAUUUUUGCAGAGAUUUAAGAAAGAAGUCUUUCAAAAAAUAGAAUCAAAUUGCAGAGAAGCGGUGAUUCAUUCAGAUGGUAAUUGCAACAAUAUUCUGGUCAAUAAUGAAAAUUGCGAUGAAGUCAGGGCAAUAAUCGAUUUCGAGGACACUUGCUCUUCUUAUCUGGUGUUCGAGUGCGGAUCCAUUCUCAGCUCCCUUCUAACGUGCACACCUGAGAAGAGUUUUGCUCAAACAGGAAAUGCCUUCAUGAAAGGGUUCACUAGAAUCCGCCCUCUUUUAGAGGUCGAGUGGUCAUUUUUAGUGGAGGCCACUCUAUCAAGAUUGCUGCAACUCCAGAUUUGGACUCUCCAUGCAGCGAAUCAAAAUCCAGAUAACUCGAAUUAUAUUUUGCAAAGUAAUGAAGCUGGCUGGAGAGUGUUUGAUAAAUUGAUUUCAGAAGAAAAAAUCAAAACUUUGGCGUCGUGGAGAAAUGAUGUCAUUUUGACAACAAAUGCAGAACUUUGAUAUAAUACUGUCUUAUACUCUAUUGUGUCUAUGUUAUACUCUACUGUGUUAUAAAUCAUCGGAAAUUCAAUUGA
Symsagittifera roscoffensis is the source of this 1841-nucleotide long non-coding RNA. RefSeq lists it as uncharacterized. The transcript has 3 exons. Lineage: Eukaryota; Metazoa; Xenacoelomorpha; Acoela; Convolutidae. The record is from RefSeq and is a predicted model, not a curated record.